This 2504-nucleotide ribosomal RNA is filed under the name Klebsiella pneumoniae. RNAcentral describes it as "partial 23S ribosomal RNA". It matches the Rfam family "Bacterial large subunit ribosomal RNA", at positions 104 to 2636 of the family's 2925-position model. The record is from RNAcentral. Lineage: Bacteria; Pseudomonadati; Pseudomonadota; Gammaproteobacteria; Enterobacterales; Enterobacteriaceae.
CCGGCGAUGUCCGAAUGGGGAAACCCAGUGUGAUUCGUCACACUAUCGUUAACUGAAUACAUAGGUUAACGAGGCGAACCGGGGGAACUGAAACAUCUAAGUACCCCGAGGAAAAGAAAUCAACCGAGAUUCCCCCAGUAGCGGCGAGCGAACGGGGAGCAGCCCAGAGUCUGAAUCAGCUUGUGUGUUAGUGGAACGGUCUGGAAAGUCCGACGGUACAGGGUGAUAGUCCCGUACACCAAAAUGCACAGGCUGUGAACUCGAAGAGUAGGGCGGGACACGUGGUAUCCUGUCUGAAUAUGGGGGGACCAUCCUCCAAGGCUAAAUACUCCUGACUGACCGAUAGUGAACCAGUACCGUGAGGGAAAGGCGAAAAGAACCCCGGCGAGGGGAGUGAAAAAGAACCUGAAACCGUGUACGUACAAGCAGUGGGAGCACCUUCGGGUGUGACUGCGUACCUUUUGUAUAAUGGGUCAGCGACUUAUAUUCUGUAGCAAGGUUAACCGUAUAGGGGAGCCGCAGGGAAACCGAGUCUUAACUGGGCGUUAAGUUGCAGGGUAUAGACCCGAAACCCGGUGAUCUAGCCAUGGGCAGGUUGAAGGUUGGGUAACACUAACUGGAGGACCGAACCGACUAAUGUUGAAAAAUUAGCGGAUGACUUGUGGCUGGGGGUGAAAGGCCAAUCAAACCGGGAGAUAGCUGGUUCUCCCCGAAAGCUAUUUAGGUAGCGCCUCGUGAACUCAUCUUCGGGGGUAGAGCACUGUUUCGGCUAGGGGGUCAUCCCGACUUACCAACCCGAUGCAAACUACGAAUACCGAAGAAUGUUAUCACGGGAGACACACGGCGGGUGCUAACGUCCGUCGUGAAGAGGGAAACAACCCAGACCGCCAGCUAAGGUCCCAAAGUCAUGGUUAAGUGGGAAACGAUGUGGGAAGGCACAGACAGCCAGGAUGUUGGCUUAGAAGCAGCCAUCAUUUAAAGAAAGCGUAAUAGCUCACUGGUCGAGUCGGCCUGCGCGGAAGAUGUAACGGGGCUAAACCAUGCACCGAAGCUGCGGCAGCGACACUAUGUGUUGUUGGGUAGGGGAGCGUUCUGUAAGCCUGCGAAGGUGUGCUGUGAGGCAUGCUGGAGGUAUCAGAAGUGCGAAUGCUGACAUAAGUAACGAUAAAGCGGGUGAAAAGCCCGCUCGCCGGAAGACCAAGGGUUCCUGUCCAACGUUAAUCGGGGCAGGGUGAGUCGACCCCUAAGGCGAGGCCGAAAGGCGUAGUCGAUGGGAAACAGGUUAAUAUUCCUGUACUUGGUGUUACUGCGAAGGGGGGACGGAGAAGGCUAUGUUAGCCGGGCGACGGUUGUCCCGGUUUAAGCAUGUAGGCUGGUUGUCCAGGCAAAUCCGGAUAAUCAAGGCUGAGGUGUGAUGACGAGGCACUACGGUGCUGAAGUAACAAAUGCCCUGCUUCCAGGAAAAGCCUCUAAGCAUCAGGUAACAUUAAAUCGUACCCCAAACCGACACAGGUGGUCAGGUAGAGAAUACCAAGGCGCUUGAGAGAACUCGGGUGAAGGAACUAGGCAAAAUGGUGCCGUAACUUCGGGAGAAGGCACGCUGGUGUGUAGGUGAAGUCCCUGCGGAUGGAGCUGAGACCAGUCGAAGAUACCAGCUGGCUGCAACUGUUUAUUAAAAACACAGCACUGUGCAAACACGAAAGUGGACGUAUACGGUGUGACGCCUGCCCGGUGCCGGAAGGUUAAUUGAUGGGGUUAUCCGUAAGGAGAAGCUCUUGAUCGAAGCCCCGGUAAACGGCGGCCGUAACUAUAACGGUCCUAAGGUAGCGAAAUUCCUUGUCGGGUAAGUUCCGACCUGCACGAAUGGCGUAAUGAUGGCCAGGCUGUCUCCACCCGAGACUCAGUGAAAUUGAACUCGCUGUGAAGAUGCAGUGUACCCGCGGCAAGACGGAAAGACCCCGUGAACCUUUACUAUAGCUUGACACUGAACAUUGAGCCUUGAUGUGUAGGAUAGGUGGGAGGCUUUGAAGCGUGGACGCCAGUCUGCGUGGAGCCAACCUUGAAAUACCACCCUUUAAUGUUUGAUGUUCUAACGUUGGCCCCUGACCGGGGUUGCGGACAGUGUCUGGUGGGUAGUUUGACUGGGGCGGUCUCCUCCCAAAGCGUAACGGAGGAGCACGAAGGUUAGCUAAUCCUGGUCGGACAUCAGGAGGUUAGUGCAAUGGCAUAAGCUAGCUUGACUGCGAGCGUGACGGCGCGAGCAGGUGCGAAAGCAGGUCAUAGUGAUCCGGUGGUUCUGAAUGGAAGGGCCAUCGCUCAACGGAUAAAAGGUACUCCGGGGAUAACAGGCUGAUACCGCCCAAGAGUUCAUAUCGACGGCGGUGUUUGGCACCUCGAUGUCGGCUCAUCACAUCCUGGGGCUGAAGUAGGUCCCAAGGGUAUGGCUGUUCGCCAUUUAAAGUGGUACGCGAGCUGGGUUUAGAACGUCGUGAGACAGUUCGGUC